CCACCAGGAGUGGAGCCUGCGGC
This 23-nucleotide non-coding RNA is filed under the name Arabidopsis thaliana (thale cress). Lineage: Eukaryota; Viridiplantae; Streptophyta; Magnoliopsida; Brassicales; Brassicaceae. The record is from RNAcentral. RNAcentral also lists the same sequence under 4 other names.